AACAUUUACCCCGUCACCCUCAAUGCAACCGAUCUCGUCAGAUCUCGGAAGCUAAGUUUGGUUGAGGCUUCUUAUUCCUGAGAUGGGAGAAUGCCUGCGAAUACCAAGUAUUGAAGGCUU
RNAcentral lists this ribosomal RNA (120 nucleotides) under Petromyzon marinus (sea lamprey). Lineage: Eukaryota; Metazoa; Chordata; Hyperoartia; Petromyzontiformes; Petromyzontidae. The record is from RNAcentral.